RNAcentral lists this ribosomal RNA (253 nucleotides) under uncultured bacterium. Its description in RNAcentral is "partial 16S ribosomal RNA". It matches the Rfam family "Bacterial small subunit ribosomal RNA", at positions 524 to 776 of the family's 1533-position model. The record is from RNAcentral.
UACGUAGGUGGCAAGCGUUGUCCGGAUUUACUGGGUGUGAAGGGCGUGCAGCCGGAGAGACAAGUCAGAUGUGAAAUCCACGGGCUCAACCCGUGAACUGCAUUUGAAACUGUUUCCCUUGAGUGUCGGAGAGGUAAUCGGAAUUCCUUGUGUAGCGGUGAAAUGCGUAGAUAUAAGGAAGAACACCAGUGGCGAAGGCGGAUUACUGGACGAUAACUGACGGUGAGGCGCGAAAGCGUGGGGAGCAAACAGG